This 551-nucleotide ribosomal RNA is filed under the name uncultured fungus. Its description in RNAcentral is "eukaryotic LSU rRNA". It matches the Rfam family "Eukaryotic large subunit ribosomal RNA", at positions 71 to 647 of the family's 3401-position model. Lineage: Eukaryota; Fungi. The record is from RNAcentral.
GGGAUUGCCCUAGUAACGGCGAGUGAAGCGGCAACAGCUCAAAUUUGAAAUCUGGCCCUCGGGUCCGAGUUGUAAUUUGUAGAGGAUGCUUUUGGUGCGGUACCUUCCGAGUUCCCUGGAACGGGACGCCAUAGAGGGUGAGAGCCCCGUCUGGUUGGAUACCAAUCCUCUGUAAAGCUCCUUCGACGAGUCGAGUAGUUUGGGAAUGCUGCUCUAAAUGGGAGGUAUAUGUCUUCUAAAGCUAAAUAUUGGCCAGAGACCGAUAGCGCACAAGUAGAGUGAUCGAAAGAUGAAAAGCACUUUGAAAAGAGAGUUAAAAAGUACGUGAAAUUGUUGAAAGGGAAGCGCUUAUGACCAGACUUGGGCUUGGUUGAUCAUCCUGGGUUUUCCCUGGUGCACUCUUCCAGUUCAGGCCAGCAUCAGUUUGCUUCGGGGGAUAAAGGCUUCGGGAAUGUGGCUCCUCCGGGAGUGUUAUAGCCCGUUGUGUAAUACCCUGAAGCAGACUGAGGUUCGCGCAUCUGCAAGGAUGCUGGCGUAAUGGUCAUCAGCGA